CAGUAGCCGCGGGAAUACGUAGGGGGCAAGCGUUAUCCGGAAUUACUGGGCAUAAAGGGCGCGUAGGCGGACUGAUAAGUCAGGGGUGAAAUCCCAAGGCUCAACCUUGGAACUGCCUUUGAUACUGUUUGUCUUGAGUUCGAGAGAGGUAAGUGGAACUGCGAGUGUAGAGGUGAAAUUCGUAGAUAUUCGCAAGAACACCAGUGGCGAAGGCGGCUUACUGGCUCGAAACUGACGCUGAGGCGCGAAAGCGUGGGGAGCAAACAGGAUUAGAUACCCCUGUAGUCCCUGUCUCUUAUAA
This 301-nucleotide ribosomal RNA is filed under the name uncultured bacterium. Its description in RNAcentral is "partial 16S ribosomal RNA". It matches the Rfam family "Bacterial small subunit ribosomal RNA", at positions 509 to 809 of the family's 1533-position model. The record is from RNAcentral.